Sardina pilchardus (European sardine) is the source of this 568-nucleotide long non-coding RNA. RefSeq lists it as uncharacterized. The record is from RefSeq and is a predicted model, not a curated record. The transcript has 5 exons. NCBI's taxonomy places the organism in Eukaryota, Metazoa, Chordata, Actinopteri, Clupeiformes, Clupeidae.
UGAAGCUUGCUGUGUGUAAGCUGAACAAACUCUGCCGUCAUCAUCAUAUUCAAGGCGGUGUGUUGUGUGGAGGACUGCUGCCCUGAGACCGCUGGGUUUAUUCUGGAAUAUUGUCACUUCCAAAGCCCAUUACAAGCCUGCAAUGGGCUCUAUGAACUGUCCAGAGCAAAAUCAGUCUGUCCUGAUGGCACUACCUGCUACUAUGGCUGCUGCUCUCAACCUGGUGGGGCAAGUCUUAAGAGUUGCAGACAGGGGAGCAAAAGGAGUUCCUGGACCCUUAAAGGGUUAAGGCCAUAAUGGGCCACCUAGAAGAGAUUCAGGCACUCCCUCAAGAUUGCUGGGCCAUGCAAUUAAUGCCAAACUUGCAGAACUGUGAUGUCAGUACAAAAACAAAAAUGGCCAUUUUUAAAUAAAUUCAACAAAAGAAAACAGAAGAGUUGUGUGUUUCUUCCUCUUUAUAAUGAUACUAUGGUUAAUUUUAAGUAAAUACUAUAGUGAAAACAAUUGUAAAUGCAGAAAACAUGAAACCAUAGUAGAAUAUGAACUAUAUUUGAACAAUAUAUCAGAA